UUGUAGCAAUACAAGGCAGACGGCUCAGUAACACGUAGUCAAUCUACCCUAUGGACGGGGAUAACCUCGGGAAACUGAGGAUAACACCCGAUAGAUCAUAAUUCCUGGAACGGUUUAUGGUCCAAACGAUUCGUCGCCAUAGGAUGGGACUGCGGCCUAUCAGCUUGUUGGUGAGGUAAUGGCCCACCAAGGCUAUUACAGGUACGGGCUCUGAGAGGAGAAGCCCGGAGAUGGGUACUGAGACACGGACCCAGGCCCUAUGGGGCGCAGCAGGCGAGAAACCUUUGCAAUGUGCGCAAGCACGACAAGGUUAAUCCGAGUGUUUCCUGCUUAAGGAAUCUUUUGUUAGUUGUAAAACCACUAUCGAAUAAGGGGUGGGCAAGUUCUGGUGUCAGCCGCCGCGGUAAAACCAGCACCUCAAGUGGUCAGGAGGAUUAUUGGGCCUAAAGCAUCCGUAGCCUGUUCUGUAAGUUUUCGGUUAAAUCCAUUAGCUCAACUAAUGGGCCGCCGAAAAUACUGUAGAACUAGGGAGUGGGAGAGGUAGACGGUAUUCGGUAGGAAGGGGUAAAAUCCUUUGAUCUAUUGAGGACCACCUGUGGCGAAGGCNGUCUACCAGAACACGUUCCGACGGUGAGGGAUGAAAGCUGGUGGAGCAAACCCGGAUUAGAUACCCGGUAGUCCNAGCCUGUUAACGAUGCAUACUCGGUGAUGCCCUGGUUGUGGCCAGUGCAUUGCCGCAGGGAAUCCGUUAA
Molecule: ribosomal RNA, 752 nt
Filed under: uncultured archaeon
Lineage: Archaea
Description: bacterial SSU rRNA
Rfam family: Archaeal small subunit ribosomal RNA
Source: RNAcentral